GUUUGAUACCCCGAAACUACGUGAGCUACUUCAAGACAGCCUAUUAAUAGGGCUAACCCAUCUCUGUAGCAAAAGCGUGGGAAGAACUUUGAGUAGAGGUGACAAACCUACCGAACCUAGUUAUAGCUGGUUGUCCAAGAAAUGAAUAAAAGUUCAGCCUCUAAGCUUCUCCUUUCACCUGAACUUAACCCCUUUAGAUGUAUUAAAGAAACUAAGAAAGUUAGUCAAAGGAGGUACAGCUCCUUUGAAUCAAGACACAACUUUAACAGGCGGGUAAAGAUCAUAAUAACCAAAGCUAGACAUUCUGGUGGGCCUAAAAGCAGCCAUCCCUUAGAAAGCGUUAAAGCUCAAACAUAUUACUUAUACCUUCUUAUCCUGAUCAAUAAAUCUCACCCCCCUAACCAUACUGGACCCUCCCAUGCCCCCAUGGGUGUGAUUAUGCUAAUAUGAGUAAUAAGAGAGCCCGCCUCUCUCCCUGCACACGUGUACCUCGGAACAGACAACCCACCGACCAUUAACGACCCCAAACAAAGAGGGCAAUAAAUCAUAAACUAAAAUCAAGUAAAACAUUUAAAAAUUAACCGUUAACCCCACACAGGUGUACCCCAAGGAAAGACCUAAAGAAAGAGAAGGAACUCGGCAAACACAUAAAGUCUCGCCUGUUUACCAAAAACAUCGCCUCUUGUACCCCCC
Molecule: ribosomal RNA, 693 nt
Filed under: Careproctus rastrinus
Lineage: Eukaryota; Metazoa; Chordata; Actinopteri; Perciformes; Liparidae
Description: partial 16S rRNA
Rfam family: Bacterial large subunit ribosomal RNA (bases 1-443)
Source: RNAcentral